UUGGUGGGUGAAUUCAGAUGGAGCCCUUGUAAAGAUGAUACCCCAAAUUAUUAUUUUCGGAUAUAAAGACAAUACUGUAGUCACCAAAAAAUGGAUUGCAACUUGCAAAACAUGCGGGAAGAAAAUUAUAGACGGAAGCGCAACAACUUCCAACUUUGUUUGACAUUUGAAGCUGCACAAAGAACGAUUUGAACAAUUCCAGAAGAACAAAAGUGUCAGAAGUGAACCACAAAAGUCUCCAAUCUCACAGUUCAUGGAGACCCGUGUAGGGCAGUACAGCAUGAAUCAUCCACAGCAGAAAGCUAUCAACAAAGCAAUACUGUCCAACCUGGUUAUCGAUUGCAACUUGCCGAAAAAAGUUUUCGUCACUUUCUGUCAAUGGUUGACAGUAAGUACAGCCCAGUGUGUCGCAGAACAUUGACAUCAAAAGUAGAGAACCUCGCUACAGAGAGAUGUUAAAAACUGAAAACUCAUUUGAGCGACACAGACCAUGUUUCAGUCACAGUGGACAUUUGGUCCGACCAAAAGAUGAGGGGGUUUCUUGGUGUCACUGUGCACUGUAUGGAGAAAGAUGGAGAGAGGAUACAGCUCAAAGUCCAAUCUCUUGGCCUGUGACCGCUUCAAAGGCCCACACACGGCCGAAAGAAUCUGUGAGCAAUUUGAGGCCAUAUGUGAUGAGUACAGCAUUAAAGAUAAAUUGAACUAUAUCAUUAGUGACAAUGCUGCCAACAUGAGAAAAGCAUUCACGGUGUGCUUCUCCAUUGAACAGGAUGAUGGAGUACAUGAUGAAGAUCACAAUGAUGACCCAGAGCUCUGGAAUGACCUAACCCUGGAAGACCAGCAGACAGUGGAUGCUGCUAUUGCAAAAAAAACAGCGCUCGCAGUGUUUUGCCCACACUCUCCAGCUGGUUGUGGGAGAUGGCUUGAAAGAAACAAAAGUGAUGACUCCUUCUCUUUCAAAGUUAUCGAAAAUCAGCUCACUGCUGCAUACAAGCACAACAUUCAAAUUUGGGGAAAGAGGCAUGCCUACUGCUGUCAACACAAGAUGGAACUCAACACUGAGUAAAGUGAAGGCAGUAAUCCAAUGUGGCCAUCUAAAGCUCUGUCAUGUUCUAGAAAAGGCUGGGCACAAGGAGUUGUUGUUCACAGUACGGGAGUGGAAUAAGGAGUUGGUGGACAUCCUGAAGCCAUUUGGAGCAACAGAUAUGACACAGGGGGAGAAGAUAGUCACAAUCAGUUCUGUUGUUCCCUCUGUCCUGUCCCUAAAUCACCACCUGGAGCAGCAGAAGAAUCAAGUCCAUUUCCUGAGCGGCCUGGUCAGAAGUCUCCAUGCAUCCCUGAACAAAAUAUUUAUUGGAAUCUUCAUCAAUGUGAAAAUGGCCAAGACAAGAUGGAAUCACUGCCCCCUUUUCAGAUCCAGUCUACCUCAAAGCAGCUGCCUUUGAUCCGGCUUUUUCUCUGAUGUGGGUGGAGCAGGUGUGCUGGUCAAGGAGGAGGUGGCACAAAGAGUGAAAGAACUGAUUCUGCAAGAUGCUGCAGGGACUGAGCAAGCUGUGCCUCUUGUUGAUGAGGAAGAGCGAGAGGACCAUAGUCCUGGACAAGAAGAAGAGCUGUUUGCAGCAUACUGUCCCCAAAGCACACACAUCCCUGGGUCGCUCGUCUUUUCAG
Oncorhynchus tshawytscha (Chinook salmon) is the source of this 1668-nucleotide long non-coding RNA. RefSeq lists it as uncharacterized. The transcript is spliced from 4 exons. The record is from RefSeq and is a predicted model, not a curated record. NCBI's taxonomy places the organism in Eukaryota, Metazoa, Chordata, Actinopteri, Salmoniformes, Salmonidae.